Molecule: non-coding RNA, 72 nt
Organism: Cordylochernes scorpioides
Lineage: Eukaryota; Metazoa; Arthropoda; Arachnida; Pseudoscorpiones; Chernetidae
Source: the annotation of a GenBank genome assembly
UCCCACAUGGUCUAGUGGCUAAAAUUUCUGGCUUUUACCCAGAAGGUCCGUGUUCGAUUCCCGGUGUGGAAA